GAUGAACGCUGGCGGCGUGCUUAACACAUGCAAGUCGAACGGUGAAGGCGGAGCUUGCUCUGCUGGAUCAGUGGCGAACGGGUGAGUAACACGUGAGCAAUCUGCCCCUGACUCUUGGAUAAGCGCUGGAAACGGCGUCUAAUACUGGAUACGAGCUGCGAAGGCAUCUUCAGCAGCUGGAAAGAACUUCGGUCAGGGAUGAGCUCGCGGCCUAUCAGCUUGUUGGUGAGGUAACGGCUCACCAAGGCGUCGACGGGUAGCCGGCCUGAGAGGGUGACCGGCCACACUGGGACUGAGACACGGCCCAGACUCCUACGGGAGGCAGCAGUGGGGAAUAUUGCACAAUGGGCGAAAGCCUGAUGCAGCAACGCCGCGUGAGGGACGACGGCCUUCGGGUUGUAAACCUCUUUUAGCAGGGAAGAAGCGAAAGUGACGGUACCUGCAGAAAAAGCGCCGGCUAACUACGUG
RNAcentral lists this ribosomal RNA (468 nucleotides) under uncultured bacterium. RNAcentral describes it as "partial 16S ribosomal RNA". It matches the Rfam family "Bacterial small subunit ribosomal RNA", at positions 28 to 507 of the family's 1533-position model. The record is from RNAcentral.